Molecule: long non-coding RNA, 288 nt
Organism: Etheostoma spectabile (orangethroat darter)
Lineage: Eukaryota; Metazoa; Chordata; Actinopteri; Perciformes; Percidae
Exons: 3
Source: RefSeq, a predicted model, not a curated record
CCACACAUUGGGACUACUUGUUUCUCUGUUUCAGCUGCGGGCUCGUUUGAGGAUGAGUGUCAUUGCAGUCCAGUCGGUGAAAAUGGUGACAGCCAACAUGUUGCUGAGUGUCUUCUUUGUUUCAGGUGCUCUGGCUGAUUGUUAUAGAGAGCCAGCCCUAUUCAUUACUACACCAAAGAACAUGGAAGCACUGAGUGGAUCUUGUCUGCUAAUCCCAUGUAACUUUAGUUCUAAACCAGAUCAGGACUUCAACAGCACAAGAACAACCUUCGGAGUGUGGAUUAAAAA